This 481-nucleotide ribosomal RNA is filed under the name uncultured bacterium. RNAcentral's name for it is "partial 16S ribosomal RNA". It matches the Rfam family "Bacterial small subunit ribosomal RNA", at positions 28 to 507 of the family's 1533-position model. The record is from RNAcentral.
GACGAACGCUGGCGGCGUGCUUAACACAUGCCAGUCGAACGCUGAAGCUCAGCUUGCUGGGUGGAUGAGUGGCGAACGGGUGAGUAACACGUGAGUAACCUGCCCCCUUCUUUGGGAUAACGCCCGGAAACGGGUGCUAAUACUGGAUAUUCACUGAUCUUCGCAUGGGGGUUGGUGGAAAGGUUUUUUCUGGUGGGGGAUGGGCUCGCGGCCUAUCAGCUUGUUGGUGGGGUGAUGGCCUACCAAGGCUUUGACGGGUAGCCGGCCUGAGAGGGUGACCGGUCACAUUGGGACUGAGAUACGGCCCAGACUCCUACGGGAGGCAGCAGUGGGGAAUAUUGCACAAUGGGCGAAAGCCUGAUGCAGCGACGCCGCGUGAGGGAUGGAGGCCUUCGGGUUGUAAACCUCUUUCGCUCAUGGUCAAGCCGCAACAUUGGUUGUGGUGAGGGUAGUGGGUAAAGAAGCGCCGGCUAACUACGUG